ACCUGCUACCUCCCACCGCCCCCGCAAGGUCCCCUGCUCGCCAGCUCCCUCGGUUGACCUCAUCGGGCCGCCCUCCCCUUCAUCCCACCGCAGACGUUAGGACUCGUACACCCCCUGCUCUUCGCCGCCUCUCCUCAUCGAAUCCGUUCAUCGAAGAGUCCGGGGAGGCGCUGCCACUCGGCAUGCUCGCGGCCUCGCCGGCGACCCAGAGCUAGGGGCCGACGGAGGCGGACGCGGAGGCGCGCGCCUCGUAUCCACCGGAUAGGAAGCUGCGGACACCACGUGUUGGAGGGCUUCACAACGCUGGCCGUCCCCAUGCAGAAACAGCCGAUGAGUCGGAGCAAUCACCGAGGGACGCCGUCGAGGACGCCCUGCUCCAGCGGGCUGCCCAUGUGGCGAGCGUUCUGGGCACCACCAAACCAGCAUCGUGUGCAGGUACUUCAAUCCUGUUUGGCGGUUCAUUCGAGUGGAUACCUUGGUGAAAUCCCACGUGGAAUUUCCAAAAAUCUUAUGUUCUACCUAUAUCCUAUGUUCAGCAAGCUGUUGUUGGCAGGAGGCCAGCCCUGCCAAUAUUGGGGACUGGCUUCGCCAGUAUAGAUGGAAAUGUGGGGAUGCAGGACCCAGUUGUCAAGGAGACCCCUGCCUUGGAGGACCAGUACGCCGUCGAGCUGGGUGCAGGAGACGGGCGGGUGCAGUGGACCUGCCGCCGGUUGGAAGGUGCAUGGCGGCGGUGUCCUGGAACACAUCGUCGUGGAGGACAGCAUCGUCCUGGAACACGGC
Molecule: long non-coding RNA, 780 nt
Organism: Lolium rigidum
Lineage: Eukaryota; Viridiplantae; Streptophyta; Magnoliopsida; Poales; Poaceae
Exons: 3
Source: RefSeq, a predicted model, not a curated record